RNAcentral lists this ribosomal RNA (253 nucleotides) under uncultured bacterium. RNAcentral describes it as "partial 16S ribosomal RNA". It matches the Rfam family "Bacterial small subunit ribosomal RNA", at positions 524 to 776 of the family's 1533-position model. The record is from RNAcentral.
UACAGAGGUCUCAAGCGUUGCUCGGAAUCACUGGGCGUAAAGGGUGCGUAGGCGGGUCUUUAAGUCAGGGGGGAAAUCCUGGAGCUCAACUCCAGAACUGCCUUUGAUACUGAAGAUCUUGAGUUCGGGAGAGGUGAGUGGAACUGCGAGUGUAGAGGUGAAAUUCGUAGAUAUUCGCAAGAACACCAGUGGCGAAGGCGGCUCACUGGCCCGAUACUGACGCUGAGGCACGAAAGCGUGGGGAGCAAACAGG